Apodospora peruviana is the source of this 99-nucleotide non-coding RNA. The record is from the annotation of a GenBank genome assembly. Lineage: Eukaryota; Fungi; Ascomycota; Sordariomycetes; Sordariales; Lasiosphaeriaceae.
GCCCGGCUGGCGCAAUGGUAGCGCGCAAGACUUCUAUCAAAGGACAAUUCUUCCCAUCCUUCCAUCUUGAGGCUGUGGGUUCGAGUCCCACGUCGGGUG